Molecule: ribosomal RNA, 719 nt
Filed under: Microbacterium sp. EA_R_65
Lineage: Bacteria; Bacillati; Actinomycetota; Actinomycetes; Micrococcales; Microbacteriaceae
Description: bacterial SSU rRNA
Rfam family: Bacterial small subunit ribosomal RNA
Source: RNAcentral
AGCCUCAUUGCGGGGGUGCUUACCAUGCAAGUCGAACGGUGAAGCCAAGCUUGCUUGGUGGAUCAGUGGCGAACGGGUGAGUAACACGUGAGCAACCUGCCCUGGACUCUGGGAUAAGCGCUGGAAACGGCGUCUAAUACUGGAUAUGAGACGUGAUCGCAUGGUCGUGUUUGGAAAGAUUUUUCGGUCUGGGAUGGGCUCGCGGCCUAUCAGCUUGUUGGUGAGGUAAUGGCUCACCAAGGCGUCGACGGGUAGCCGGCCUGAGAGGGUGACCGGCCACACUGGGACUGAGACACGGCCCAGACUCCUACGGGAGGCAGCAGUGGGGAAUAUUGCACAAUGGGCGGAAGCCUGAUGCAGCAACGCCGCGUGAGGGAUGACGGCCUUCGGGUUGUAAACCUCUUUUAGCAGGGAAGAAGCGAAAGUGACGGUACCUGCAGAAAAAGCGCCGGCUAACUACGUGCCAGCAGCCGCGGUAAUACGUAGGGCGCAAGCGUUAUCCGGAAUUAUUGGGCGUAAAGAGCUCGUAGGCGGUUUGUCGCGUCUGCUGUGAAAUCCCGAGGCUCAACCUCCGGCCUGCAGUGGGUACGGGCAGACUAUAGUGCGGUAGGGGAGAUUGGAAUUCCUGGUGUAGCGGUGGAAUGCGCUCAUAUCAUGAGGAACACCGAUGGUUAAGGCAUAUCUCUGGGCCGUAACUGACUCUGAGGAGCGAAAGGGUG